GCGAGACACCCUAGUCGUAGAUGGGGUUUUUUUCUUUCUUUUUUUCUGUUUCAAUAAAAGUCUAUAUGAACUAAGUAGACCCGACCAAGCGGAUAUUCCAUUGGUGUCUAUCAGAGACACACCCAGUUAAGAAGACCGGAACUGACAUUUUUUUCUGUGAUAAACGGUCUGAGUUAACUGUCUUAAUUUAUCCACCAUCUUUGGUUCUGCUUUGACUACAUUGCAUGGAAAUAUUGCCACAAGCAAUGUCCCGAGUGAUGAGUGCGCACAGUACUGUUCCAUCGCAACUUUGCUAGGAUUCUUUUAUGAUUCUAAGUAACGGAAUAUUUAGGCUAAGCGCUCAUCUGUGGAUACGUUGUCAGAAUAACUUUUCUUAGUAUUUGCUUGUAGAAAUACAUUUCCCUUGUUUUCAGUCGUUUGAGAAGUCUACGCUUAGGAUAACUUUGUCUUGCUACCCAGACGUGAAUGGCGCCUGAGCCCAACGCUUCCCCCAGUGUGUGUGUGUGUCAGUGCAGACACACCCACCCUCUCCCUCGUCAGUCUCGGUUAUCAGAUAUUUUUACCCUGCCUGGUCCGGAAUCCUGCCAGCCAAGCGGAUAAUGGCCCUACUCUCUCUCCAGUUACCCCUCAGAGUGUAAGGAGCCGAGACCACGACACACACACACACACACACACACACACAGACACACACACACACACACACACACACACACACACACACACACACACACACACACACACACACACACACACACACACACACUUCCCUGACAGCUCUGGUUUUGUUUCUGGGUGAUGACAUCAUGACCGGGGCGUUACUGAACGGGGGGAAAUGUGGCAGACACACACACUCCUCGAUUCUCGCUCCUCUGACGCCCGAAGUCUUCAAACACCAUCGCUAGAGAUGGAGGCAGCUUCAGUCCACAGAGCUUCCUGUGUUUGGAUUUAUAUGAACAGUUAUCAGCCUUACUCCCACACCCCUUCCCAGCCCCGGUGCCUCUAGAGGGGCCCAUCGACCCAGGAUGCAGUGGGGCUCUGGU
RNAcentral lists this long non-coding RNA (1040 nucleotides) under Oncorhynchus kisutch (coho salmon). Its description in RNAcentral is "lncRNA (ENSOKIG00005014695.1)". Lineage: Eukaryota; Metazoa; Chordata; Actinopteri; Salmoniformes; Salmonidae. The record is from RNAcentral.